This 45-nucleotide non-coding RNA is filed under the name Schistosoma haematobium. Lineage: Eukaryota; Metazoa; Platyhelminthes; Trematoda; Strigeidida; Schistosomatidae. The record is from RNAcentral.
AUUUAACUGACGAAUUCCAAUUAGGACGAAACGCGCGUUCUGAAU